GACGAACGCUGGCGGCGCGCCUAACACAUGCAAGUCGAACGAGCGAGAGAGAGCUUGCUUUCUCGAGCGAGUGGCGAACGGGUGAGUAACGCGUGAGGAACCUGCCUCAAAGAGGGGGACAACAGUUGGAAACGACUGCUAAUACCGCAUAAGCCCACGACCCGGCAUCGGGUAGAGGGAAAAGGAGCAAUCCGCUUUGAGAUGGCCUCGCGUCCGAUUAGCUAGUUGGUGAGGUAACGGCCCACCAAGGCGACGAUCGGUAGCCGGACUGAGAGGUUGAACGGCCACAUUGGGACUGAGACACGGCCCAGACUCCUACGGGAGGCAGCAGUGGGGAAUAUUGCACAAUGGGGGAAACCCUGAUGCAGCGACGCCGCGUGGAGGAAGAAGGUCUUCGGAUUGUAAACUCCUGUUGUUGAGGAAGAUAAUGACGGUACUCAACAAGGAAGUGACGGGUAACUACGUG
This 466-nucleotide ribosomal RNA is filed under the name uncultured bacterium. Its description in RNAcentral is "partial 16S ribosomal RNA". It matches the Rfam family "Bacterial small subunit ribosomal RNA", at positions 28 to 507 of the family's 1533-position model. The record is from RNAcentral.